Molecule: non-coding RNA, 180 nt
Filed under: Streptomyces rimosus
Lineage: Bacteria; Bacillati; Actinomycetota; Actinomycetes; Kitasatosporales; Streptomycetaceae
Source: RNAcentral
CUAUAUGUUCGUGAGCACGGCCCGCGGUGCAGGGAAGCCGGUGCGAAACCGGCGCGGUCCCGCCACUGUGACCGGGGAGUGCGCUGCCGAGCAGGACGCCACUGACGCGAACGCGUCGGGAAGGCGGGCGGCGCGCGGUGAUCCGGAAGCCAGGAUACCGGCCGCGGGUGUUGUUCCGUG